UUAAUCAGUAGAGGCGCGCUGCCUAUCAGUAACCGUGCGGAGGAUGAUCCCGAUGAUGCCGGAGAAAGGAGUCAGCGCCGAAGUCACUUGAGCCGUCAUGCUCAGUGGCUGGGUCUGUGUCGAAUAGGCACAGAACUGCCAUAGUAUUAUGUCCUAUGGAGCGCUACCUGAAGG
Molecule: non-coding RNA, 174 nt
Filed under: Photobacterium aphoticum
Lineage: Bacteria; Pseudomonadati; Pseudomonadota; Gammaproteobacteria; Vibrionales; Vibrionaceae
Description: Lysine sequence
Rfam family: Lysine riboswitch aptamer
About the family: Riboswitches are metabolite binding domains within certain messenger RNAs that serve as precision sensors for their corresponding targets. Allosteric rearrangement of mRNA structure is mediated by ligand binding, and this results in modulation of gene expression.
Source: Rfam by way of RNAcentral